AUAAGGCCUUUACGGCUUGUGAUUUGAAUCAAUCGGGUGAUGUCUCCCGAAGUGAAUUAUAUAGCAGUUUGCUGUAUGUGCAUAUCACAUUGGCACGCUAUG
This 102-nucleotide non-coding RNA is filed under the name Fragilariopsis kerguelensis. Lineage: Eukaryota; Bacillariophyta; Bacillariophyceae; Bacillariales; Bacillariaceae. The record is from RNAcentral.